GGUCCGGCUAAUUACGUGCCAGCAGCCGCGGUAAUACGUAAGGACCGAGCGUUGUCCGGAAUCAUUGGGCGUAAAGGGUACGUAGGCGGCUUUUUAAGUUUGACGUGAAAGCCCGGGGCUUAACUCCGGCAAGCGUUGAAAACUGGAGGGCUUGAGUGAUGGAAGGGACAGUGGAAUUCCUGGUGUAGUGGUGAAAUGCGCAGAGAUCAGGAAGAAUACCAGAGGCGAAAGCGACUUUCUAGCGAUGAUCUGACGCUGAGGUACGAAAGCGUGGGAAGCAAACAGGAUUAGAUACCCUGGUAGUCCACGCCGUAAACGAUGAGUGUUAGAUGUCCGAGGUAAACUUGGGUGUCACAAGCCAACGCGAUAAACACUCCGCCUGGGGAGUACGUACGCA
This 397-nucleotide ribosomal RNA is filed under the name uncultured bacterium. RNAcentral's name for it is "bacterial SSU rRNA". It matches the Rfam family "Bacterial small subunit ribosomal RNA", at positions 490 to 890 of the family's 1533-position model. The record is from RNAcentral.